AGUGAACGCUGGCGGUAGGCCUAACACAUGCAAGUCGAACGGCAGCACAGUAAGAGCUUGCUCUUACGGGUGGCGAGUGGCGGACGGGUGAGGAAUACAUCGGAAUCUACUUUUUCGUGGGGGAUAACGUAGGGAAACUUACGCUAAUACCGCAUACGACCCACGGGUGAAAGCAGGGGAUCUUCGGACCUUGCGCGAUUGAAUGAGCCGAUGUCGGAUUAGCUAGUUGGCGGGGUAAAGGCCCACCAAGGCGACGAUCCGUAGCUGGUCUGAGAGGAUGAGCAGCCACACUGGAACUGAGACACGGUCCAGACUCCUACGGGAGGCAGCAGUGGGGAAUAUUGGACAAUGGGCGCAAGCCUGAUCCAGCCAUACCGCGUGGGUGAAGAAGGCCUUCGGGUUGUAAAGCCCUUUUGUUGGGAAAGAAAAGCAGCAGGUUAAUACCCCGCUGUUCUGACGGUACCCAAAGAAUAAGCACCGACUAACUUCG
RNAcentral lists this ribosomal RNA (490 nucleotides) under uncultured bacterium. RNAcentral describes it as "partial 16S ribosomal RNA". It matches the Rfam family "Bacterial small subunit ribosomal RNA", at positions 29 to 505 of the family's 1533-position model. The record is from RNAcentral.